RNAcentral lists this ribosomal RNA (253 nucleotides) under uncultured bacterium. Its description in RNAcentral is "partial 16S ribosomal RNA". It matches the Rfam family "Bacterial small subunit ribosomal RNA", at positions 524 to 776 of the family's 1533-position model. The record is from RNAcentral.
UACGGGGGGGGCAAGCGUUGUUCGGAAUUACUGGGCGUAAAGGGCUCGUAGGCGGCCAACUAAGUCGGACGUGAAAUCCCCAGGCUCAACCUGGGAACUGCGUCCGAUACUGGAUGGCUUGAAUCCGGGAGAGGGAUGCAGAAUUCCAGGUGUAGCGGUGAAGUGCGUAGAUAUCUGGAGGAAUACCGGUGGCGAAGGCGGCAUCCUGGACCGGCAUUGACGCUGAGGAGCGAAAGCCAGGGGAGCAAACGGG